This 244-nucleotide long non-coding RNA is filed under the name Felis catus (domestic cat). RNAcentral's name for it is "lncRNA (ENSFCAG00000043836.2)". The record is from RNAcentral. Lineage: Eukaryota; Metazoa; Chordata; Mammalia; Carnivora; Felidae.
AAACCUGUGUCCCCAAUGGCACUCCUAGUGACCCUCAAAUGGACCCUAAUGCCAUCCUUUGAGAUGAAAGAGGGACUCUCAAAAACUGACCCUCUCUCAACUCUUGCCCAGCUCCUGGCACAAGACACAAUGAACCAGACUGUCAUCUGCAAGACUGUCAUCACUCUGGGUCUGCUGGUGCCUUGAUUCUGGAUUUCCCGGCUUCAUGACUGUGAGAAAUAAAUGUUUGUUGUUUAAGUUACCA